RNAcentral lists this ribosomal RNA (427 nucleotides) under uncultured bacterium. RNAcentral describes it as "bacterial SSU rRNA". It matches the Rfam family "Bacterial small subunit ribosomal RNA", at positions 355 to 774 of the family's 1533-position model. The record is from RNAcentral.
UGGGGAAUAUUGGACAAUGGGGGAAACCCUGAUCCAGCCAUGCCGCGUGUGUGAAGAAGGCCUUCGGGUUGUAAAGCACUUUAAGCGAGGAGGAAGGUUCGUUGGUUAAUAACCAGCGGAAUUGACGUUACUCGCAGAAUAAGCACCGGCUAACUCUGUGCCAGCAGCCGCGGUAAUACAGAGGGUGCAAGCGUUGUCCGGAUUUACUGGGUGUAAAGGGUGCGCAGGCGGAUGGGUAAGUCAGGGGUGAAAGUCUGCAGCUUAACUGUAGAAUUGCCUUUGAUACUGCUCAUCUUGAGUGUGGGAGAGGUUGAUGGAAUUCCAGGUGUAGCAGUGAAAUGCGUAGAUAUCUGGAAGAACACCAGUGGCGAAGGCGGUCAACUGGCCCAUAACUGACGCUCAUGCACGAAAGCGUGGGGAGCAAACA